AUUGAACGCUGGCGGCAGGCCUAACACAUGCCAGUCGAGCGGAUGAAGGGAGCUUGCUCCUGGAUUCAGCGGCGGACGGGUGAGUAAUGCCUAGGAAUCUGCCUGGUAGUGGGGGAUAACGUCCGGAAACGGGCGCUAAUACCGCAUACGUCCUGAGGGAGAAAGUGGGGGAUCUUCGGACCUCACGCUAUCAGAUGAGCCUAGGUCGGAUUAGCUAGUUGGUGGGGUAAAGGCCUACCAAGGCGACGAUCCGUAACUGGUCUGAGAGGAUGAUCAGUCACACUGGAACUGAGACACGGUCCAGACUCCUACGGGAGGCAGCAGUGGGGAAUAUUGGACAAUGGGCGAAAGCCUGAUCCAGCCAUGCCGCGUGUGUGAAGAAGGUCUUCGGAUUGUAAAGCACUUUAAGUUGGGAGGAAGGGCAGUAAGUUAAAACCUUGCUGUUUUGACGUUACCAACAGAAUAAGCACCGGCUAACUUCGUG
RNAcentral lists this ribosomal RNA (484 nucleotides) under uncultured bacterium. Its description in RNAcentral is "partial 16S ribosomal RNA". It matches the Rfam family "Bacterial small subunit ribosomal RNA", at positions 30 to 507 of the family's 1533-position model. The record is from RNAcentral.